This 497-nucleotide ribosomal RNA is filed under the name uncultured bacterium. RNAcentral describes it as "partial 16S ribosomal RNA". It matches the Rfam family "Bacterial small subunit ribosomal RNA", at positions 28 to 507 of the family's 1533-position model. The record is from RNAcentral.
GAUGAACGCUGGCGGCGUGCCUAAUACAUGCAAGUCGAGCGAACGGAUGAGAAGCUUGCUUCUCUGAUGUUAGCGGCGGACGGGUGAGUAACACGUGGAUAACCUACCUAUAAGACUGGGAUAACUUCGGGAAACCGGAGCUAAUACCGGAUAAUAUUUUGAACCGCAUGGUUCAAAAGUGAAAGACGGUUUUGCUGUCACUUAUAGAUGGAUCCGCGCUGCAUUAGCUAGUUGGUAAGGUAACGGCUUACCAAGGCAACGAUGCAUAGCCGACCUGAGAGGGUGAUCGGCCACACUGGAACUGAGACACGGUCCAGACUCCUACGGGAGGCAGCAGUAGGGAAUCUUCCGCAAUGGGCGAAAGCCUGACGGAGCAACGCCGCGUGAGUGAUGAAGGUCUUCGGAUCGUAAAACUCUGUUAUUAGGGAAGAACAUAUGUGUAAGUAACUGUGCACAUCUUGACGGUACCUAAUCAGAAAGCCACGGCUAACUACGUG